GUAAGCGAACGGGUACCAUGUACCACCUAUAUAGGGUCUUCCUAUAUUGCUCCAGUAGGACUUCUGACUUAGUUUUUUGGUCGUCACUAUAGCACGCUCCCAAUGGUCUUUACUUAUGUGGCACUGUAGGUCUUUUGCCCAGUGCUUGGCUGGGUUGGAAUCUGCAAAGUGUUGUGUGGGUCGGAUGAGUUGAUAACACCAGGAUAGUGGCUUAAAUGUUGGUGCCCAUGAACCACUAGUGGUUGUCUGUUCCCAUUUCGUCAUACCGAGGGGGUUUUCGCCUGGGGUGGAGGUCUUCUCUGUGUGUUUAUGCAUGAAUGAGCUUAAUUGUAUGUGAGAGAAUUGGG
Pelobates cultripes (western spadefoot toad) is the source of this 347-nucleotide non-coding RNA. The record is from the annotation of a GenBank genome assembly. Lineage: Eukaryota; Metazoa; Chordata; Amphibia; Anura; Pelobatidae.